AGAGUUUGAUCAUGGCUCAGGAUGAACGCUGGCGGCGUGCUUAACACAUGCAAGUCGAACGAGGUCCAACCUUCGGGUGAAGACCUAGUGGCGAACGGGUGAGUAACACGUGGGGAACCUGCCCUUCUCUCUGGGAUAACGUCGAGAAAUCGGUGCUAAUACCGGAUACUCCUUGCGGAUCGCAUGGUCUGCUCGGGAAAGCUUAAGGCGGGGAUGGAUGGCCCCGCGGCCCAUUAGCUAGUUGGUGAGGUAACGGCUCACCAAGGCAACGAUGGGUAGCCGAGCUGAGAGGCUGAUCGGCCACACUGGGACUGAGACACGGCCCAGACUCCUACGGGAGGCAGCAGUGGGGAAUUUUGCACAAUGGGCGAAAGCCUGAUGCAGCAACGCCGCGUGCGGGAUGAAGGCCCUAGGGUUGUAAACCGCUUUCAGCAGGGAUGGGAUUGACAGUACCUGCAGAAGAAGCCCCGGCUAAAUACGUGCCAGCAGCCGCGGUAAUACGUAUGGGGCAAGCGUUAUCCGGAUUCAUUGGGCGUAAAGAGCGCGUAGGCGGAUUGUUAAGUCGGAUGUGAAAACCGGGGGCUCAACCCGCGGCCUGCAUCUGAAACUGGCAGUCUUGAGUCUGGUAGAGGAAAGUGGAAUUCCUGGUGUAGCGGUGAAAUGCGCAGAUAUCAGGAGGAACACCAGUGGCGAAGGCGGCUUUCUGGGCCACGACUGACGCUGAGGCGCGAAAGCUAGGGGAGCGAACAGGAUUAGAUACCCUGGUAGUCCUA
Molecule: ribosomal RNA, 773 nt
Filed under: uncultured bacterium
Lineage: Bacteria
Description: bacterial SSU rRNA
Rfam family: Bacterial small subunit ribosomal RNA
Source: RNAcentral